Molecule: long non-coding RNA, 342 nt
Filed under: Physcomitrium patens
Lineage: Eukaryota; Viridiplantae; Streptophyta; Bryopsida; Funariales; Funariaceae
Description: long non-coding RNA (PPAT_LNC000363)
Source: RNAcentral
GUGUAUAUGACUUACUACUACUCUUGUGUGUGUAUAUGACUUACUAUUAUUCUUAUGUCUUUCUAAACAUUCUCAACACGUUAUCAGUAUGACUCUCUUCUACACACUAUUACAAUUUUUUUUGCUCUAGUCUUGACUUUUCAAACCUGUUGCUACUCUUGUUCAAUAUCUGCUUCAUGAUCUUAUUACUCUUCUUGCUCGCCCCUCACAUAUUACCUGCUCGCUUAAAGCACUUGUUCUACUCUUUGCCAUGCUUGCUUAGAAUACUUAUUUAGAAUAUUUGAUCCAGCCCAGCUCCACCCUAGCUUGCUCCCUGCUGCACCUCGCGCCUGUUGUUGAACU